CCUAGACCACUUCCAAUGGUCGUAUGGACUUGAAAUUUGGCAUGGAGGUAGGUCUUUAAGG
RNAcentral lists this microRNA precursor (61 nucleotides) under Spodoptera frugiperda (fall armyworm). RNAcentral's name for it is "microRNA sfr-mir-10501 precursor". Lineage: Eukaryota; Metazoa; Arthropoda; Insecta; Lepidoptera; Noctuidae. The record is from miRBase by way of RNAcentral.